This 497-nucleotide ribosomal RNA is filed under the name uncultured bacterium. RNAcentral describes it as "partial 16S ribosomal RNA". It matches the Rfam family "Bacterial small subunit ribosomal RNA", at positions 28 to 507 of the family's 1533-position model. The record is from RNAcentral.
GAUGAACGCUGGCGGCGUGCCUAAUACAUGCAAGUCGAGCGAACAGACGAGGAGCUUGCUCCUCUGACGUUAGCGGCGGACGGGUGAGUAACACGUGGAUAACCUACCUAUAAGACUGGGAUAACUUCGGGAAACCGGAGCUAAUACCGGAUGAUAUAUUGAACCGCAUGGUUCAAUAGUGAAAGACGGUUUUGCUGUCACUUAUAGAUGGAUCCGCGCCGCAUUAGCUAGUUGGUAAGGUAACGGCUUACCAAGGCAACGAUGCGUAGCCGACCUGAGAGGGUGAUCGGCCACACUGGAACUGAGACACGGUCCAGACUCCUACGGGAGGCAGCAGUAGGGAAUCUGCCGCAAUGGGCGAAAGCCUGACGGAGCAACGCCGCGUGAGUGAUGAAGGUCUUCGGAUCGUAAAACUCUGUUAUUAGGGAAGAACAAAUGUGUAAGUAACUAUGCACGUCUUGACGGUACCUAAUCAGAAAGCCACGGCUAACUACGUG